Molecule: long non-coding RNA, 1269 nt
Organism: Haliotis rufescens (red abalone)
Lineage: Eukaryota; Metazoa; Mollusca; Gastropoda; Lepetellida; Haliotidae
Exons: 6
Source: RefSeq, a predicted model, not a curated record
AUAAUGAUUGAUAUGUUUUAAUAUAAGAAACUUCUUAAGUAAGUUAUGUCAGCUCUUCUCAAAGUGUACAUUGAAGGAAGCUAGGUACAUAGAUGCAUCUGUUUCUCAUACUGUACAUAUUUGUACUCUGUAUUUAAAAAUAAUUACUAGUUAUGUUACACUGGUGCAGUUAAAAUGACCUAACACUGCACUAAUAGUUAUGUAAUACCAAUAUUUGUAGUUUGGGUCAUUGGGCCCUUUAUAUUGAAAAAAUAUAUGUGUGUCGUGAUUGAUGAUGUUUUACCAGAAUUGUGUAUUACCAGACAAUUUGUAACUAGGCAGUGUCAGCUCCUACAUUUAAAUGAUUGGAAGUAUCAUUUACAUUCACAGAGUUAAACAUUGACCUUUCCAGGUGCAAAAAGAAUGCCACAAGUUACACUGAAAACAAGAGAAGUUCACCUGCUUCCCAUAAUGAAGAAUCAGAUGCAUCAUCUUUUUCUGUGCAAAAAGAAGCUGAACACAUUUAUGCAGCCUCACCGUGUACCAAAAUCUGUUCUACUGGGACUGAACCCGAAGAAAAACCAAAGGCUGCAGUUGGUGAACACAACUAUUGUUUGGAUUUGCCACCAAAACAAAAGCUACCAUCUACAUUUUCAACUCAUGAGCUGAAGUUGGGAAACAGCCACAGCAGACAUAUUUACAUGGACUAAUGCAAGCAUUUGCAUCUGAGGACUUGGAGCAAGUUGUGACCUUACUUUUGUCCCACCCCAGUUCAAGAAAUAAAAUAAACGAGAGAGUGAUACAGCAGCUACAGUCAGACUGUCAAGAGCUAUCAUCAUUAUCAUCUCCAAUGGUUCUCAGGGAGCAAUCAAGUCUGCAGAAUCUUACAGAUAGCCAUGACUUUAUAGGUCAGGUAUUUCAGGAGAUGAAAAAAAGGGCACCAUUCUUGUUGGCUGUAAUGUCCACUGUAACUGGAUGUAUGGAUGGUGAAAUUCCACUCAAUAAAGUGGCUGCAAUAACGUCAUCAUACUCCAUACUGAUGCGUAUGCGAAACAUCCAUCUAACAGCAUGGCAUAAGAUGGUGUGAUGCAUUCUCAUAAGAGGACAUUUAGAAGAUCAGCUUGGGUACUCAGCCAUGCUGUAUGUUGGACACCUAAGGACUGCGGCCACUCCACAUUUACCUCUCCACGGAUAAAGAUAUAUAUAUAUGCACAUGUUUUUUCACAAGGAUCGUUUUUGAGGAACCUUAGAUCAAAUUCCAAGGUUAGUAUUUUAUUAGUGAACUGAGGA